RNAcentral lists this microRNA (21 nucleotides) under Gossypium raimondii (Peruvian cotton). RNAcentral's name for it is "gra-miR7484d". Lineage: Eukaryota; Viridiplantae; Streptophyta; Magnoliopsida; Malvales; Malvaceae. The record is from miRBase by way of RNAcentral.
AGAAUGACCGGUUUGCUCUUU